RNAcentral lists this ribosomal RNA (253 nucleotides) under uncultured bacterium. RNAcentral describes it as "partial 16S ribosomal RNA". It matches the Rfam family "Bacterial small subunit ribosomal RNA", at positions 524 to 776 of the family's 1533-position model. The record is from RNAcentral.
UACGUAGGGGGCAAGCGUUGUCCGGAAUCAUUGGGCGUAAAGCGCGUGUAGGCGGCUAGGUAAGUCUGCUCUGAAAGCCCGGGGCUCAACCCCGGGAGGCGGGUGGAUACUGUCUAGCUCGAGUCCGGAAGAGGAGUGUGGAAUUCCUGGUGUAGCGGUGAAAUGCGCAGAUAUCAGGAGGAACACCAAUGGCGAAGGCAGCUCGCUGGGACGGUACUGACGCUGAGGCGCGAAAGCGUGGGGAGCGAACAGG